RNAcentral lists this ribosomal RNA (1515 nucleotides) under uncultured bacterium. RNAcentral's name for it is "16S ribosomal RNA". It matches the Rfam family "Bacterial small subunit ribosomal RNA". The record is from RNAcentral.
UUAGAGUUUGAUCCUGGCUCAGAACGAACGCUGGCGGCAUGCCUAACACAUGCAAGUCGAACGAGAAAACCCCGCAAGGGGUUAGUAAAGUGGCGCACGGGUGCGUAACACGUGGGUAAUUUGCCCUUUAGUUUGGGAUAACCUUUCGAAAGAAAGGCUAAUACCGGAGAGACCACAGAAGCAUAAGCUUUAGGGGUUAAAGAUGGGGACCGCAAGGCCUAUCGCUAAAGGAUGAGCCCGCGCACUAUCAGCUAGUUGGUGAGGUAACGGCUCACCAAGGCUAUGACGGUUAGCUGGUCUGAGAGGAUGACCAGCCACACUGGAACUGAGACACGGUCCAGACUCCUACGGGAGGCAGCAGUGGGGAAUCUUGCACAAUGGGCGCAAGCCUGAUGCAGCAAUGCCGCGUGAGUGCUGAAGGCCUUCGGGUUGUAAAUCUCUGUCGGGUGGGAAAAACGGGUUCAUAUUUAAUAAAUAUGAGCAGUGAUGGUACCACCAAAGGAAGAGGCGGCUAAUUCUGUGCCAGCAGCCGCGGUAAUACAGAAGCCUCGAGCGUUGUUCGGAAUUACUGGGCGUAAAGGGAAUGUAGGUGGUGACGUAAGUCAGAUGUGAAAGCCCUGGGCUUAACCCGGGAAGUGCAUUUGAUACUGCGUUGCUAGAGUGCGAGAGAGGAAAGUGGAAUUCCCGGUGUAGGGGUGAAAUCCGCAGAUAUCGGGAGGAUACCAAUGGCGAAGGCAGCUUUCUGGCUCGUAACUGACACUGAGAUUCGAAAGCGUGGGUAGCAAACAGGAUUAGAUACCCUGGUAGUCCACGCCGUAAACGAUGGAUGCUUGUUGUUGGAAGAGUUAACCCUUUCAGUAACGAAGCUAACGCGUUAAGCAUCCCGCCUGGGGAGUACGGUCGCAAGAUUAAAACUCAAAGAAAUUGACGGGGACCCGCACAAGCAGUGGAGCAUGUGGUUCAAUUCGACGCAACGCGAAGAACCUUAUCCUGGUCUUGACAUCCUCUGACCGCCAGCGAAAGUUGGUUUUCCCUUCGGGGACAGAGAGACAGGUGCUGCAUGGCUGUCGUCAGCUCGUGUCGUGAGAUGUUGGGUUAAGUCCCGUAACGAGCGCAACCCACGCCUCUUGUUGCCAUCAUUAAGUUGGGCACUCUAGAGGGACUGCCAGUGUUAAACUGGAGGAAGGUGUGGAUGACGUCAAGUCCUCAUGGCCCUUAUGACCAGGGCUACACACGUGCUACAAUGCAGGGUACAAAGGGCUGCGAAACGGUGACGUGGAGCCAAUCCCAAAAAACCCUGCUCAGUUCGGAUUGAAGUCUGCAACUCGACUUCAUGAAGCUGGAAUUGCUAGUAAUCACAGAUCAGAAUGCUGUGGUGAAUACGUUCCCGGGUCUUGUACACACCGCCCGUCACACCACGAAAGUUGUUUGCACCAGAAGUCGCCGAGCUAACCGCAAGGAAGCAAGCGCCCAAGGUGUGUGCAAUGAUUGGGGUGAAGUCGUAACAAGGUAACC